GCAAGUCGUACGAGAAAGAGGUUGCUUGCAACCUUGAGUAGAGUGGCGCACGGGUGAGUAACACGUAGAUAAUCUACCUUCAAGCCUGGAAUAACUAUUCGAAAGGAUAGCUAAUACCGGAUAAAGUUAUCCAGCACAGGCUGGACAAUGAAAGAUUGCCUCUUCUUGAAAGCAAUUGUUUGGAGAUGAGUCUGCGGACCAUUAGUUUGUUGGUGGGGUAAAAGCCUACCAAGACUGCGAUGGUUAGCUGGUCUGAGAGGAUGAUC
RNAcentral lists this ribosomal RNA (266 nucleotides) under uncultured bacterium. RNAcentral's name for it is "partial 16S ribosomal RNA". It matches the Rfam family "Bacterial small subunit ribosomal RNA", at positions 57 to 305 of the family's 1533-position model. The record is from RNAcentral.